This 473-nucleotide ribosomal RNA is filed under the name Vibrio parahaemolyticus. RNAcentral's name for it is "bacterial SSU rRNA". It matches the Rfam family "Bacterial small subunit ribosomal RNA", at positions 1 to 460 of the family's 1533-position model. Lineage: Bacteria; Pseudomonadati; Pseudomonadota; Gammaproteobacteria; Vibrionales; Vibrionaceae. The record is from RNAcentral.
AAAUUGAAGAGUUUGAUCAUGGCUCAGAUUGAACGCUGGCGGCAGGCCUAACACAUGCAAGUCGAGCGGAAACGAGUUAUCUGAACCUUCGGGGAACGAUAGCGGCGUCGAGCGGCGGACGGGUGAGUAAUGCCUAGGAAAUUGCCCUGAUGUGGGGGAUAACCAUUGGAAACGAUGGCUAAUACCGCAUGAUGCCUACGGGCCAAAGAGGGGGACCUUCGGGCCUCUCGCGUCAGGAUAUGCCUAGGUGGGAUUAGCUAGUUGGUGAGGUAAGGGCUCACCAAGGCGACGAUCCCUAGCUGGUCUGAGAGGAUGAUCAGCCACACUGGAACUGAGACACGGUCCAGACUCCUACGGGAGGCAGCAGUGGGGAAUAUUGCACAAUGGGCGCAAGCCUGAUGCAGCCAUGCCGCGUGUGUGAAGAAGGCCUUCGGGUUGUAAAGCACUUUCAGUCGUGAGGAAGGUAGUGUAGU